RNAcentral lists this ribosomal RNA (261 nucleotides) under uncultured bacterium. Its description in RNAcentral is "partial 16S ribosomal RNA". It matches the Rfam family "Bacterial small subunit ribosomal RNA", at positions 793 to 1055 of the family's 1533-position model. The record is from RNAcentral.
GUCCACGCCGUAAACGGUGGGCGCUAGUUGUGCGAACCUUCCACGGUUUGUGCGACGCAGCUAACGCAUUAAGCGCCCCGCCUGGGGAGUACGAUCGCAAGAUUAAAACUCAAAGGAAUUGACGGGGCCCCGCACAAGCAGCGGAGCAUGCGGCUUAAUUCGACGCAACGCGAAGAACCUUACCAAGGCUUGACAUAUACAGGAAUACGGCAGAGAUGUCGUAGCCGCAAGGUCUGUAUACAGGUGGUGCAUGGUUGUCGU